Molecule: ribosomal RNA, 1484 nt
Filed under: uncultured Bordetella sp.
Lineage: Bacteria; Pseudomonadati; Pseudomonadota; Betaproteobacteria; Burkholderiales; Alcaligenaceae
Description: partial 16S-23S ribosomal RNA intergenic spacer
Rfam family: Bacterial small subunit ribosomal RNA
Source: RNAcentral
UUCGAUCAUGGCUCAGAUUGAACACGCUGGCGGGAUGCUUAUACCGUCAGGUGGCAGCACGGACUUCGGUCUGGUGGCGAGUGGCGAACGGGUGAGUAAUGUAUCGGAACGUGCCCUAGUAGCAGGAUAACCCUGCGCGAAAGCGUAGCUAAUACCGCAUACGCCCUUCGGGGGAAAGCGGGGACCUUCGGGCCUCGCACUAUUAAACGGCCGAUAUCGGUUUAGCUGAGUUGGUGGGGUAACGGCUCACAAGGCGACGAUCCGUAGCUGGUUUGAGAGGACGACCAGCCACACUGGACUGAGACACAGCCCAGACUCUACGGGGAGGGCGGCAGUGGGGGAAUUUUGGACAAUGGAAACCUGAUCCAGCCAUCCCGCGUGUGCGAUAGAGGCCUUCGGGUUGUAAAAGCACUUUUGGCAGGAAAACGGCCCCUGGAUAAUACCCCGUGCAACUGACGGUACCUGCAGAAUAAGCACCGGCUGGCUAACUGCGUGCCAGCAGCCGCGGUAAUACGUAGGGUGCAAGCGUUAAUCGGAAUUACUGGGCGUAAAGCGUGCGCGGGCGGUUCGGAAAGAAAGAUGUGAAAUCCCAGGAAAACAGCUUUGGAACUGCAUUUUUAACUACCGAGCUAGAGUGUGUCAGAGGAGGUGGAAUUCCGCGUGUAGCAGUGAAAUGCGUAGAUAUGGAGGAACACCGAUGGCGAAGGCAGCCUCCUGGGAUAACACUGGCACAUCGCCGCAGCGUGGGGAGCAAACGGGAUUAAAGAUACCUGGUAGUCCACGCCCUAAACGAUAUCAACUAGCUGUUAGGGCCUUCGGGCCUUGGUAGCGCAACUAACGCGUGAAGUUGACCGCCCUGGGAAGUACGGUCGCAAGACCAAAACUCAAGAUAUUGACGGGGACCCGCACAAGCGGUGGAUGAUGUGGAUUAAUUCGAUGCAACGCGAAAAACCUUACCACCCACUUGACAUGUCUGGAAUCCCGAAGAGAUUUGGGAGUGCUCGCAAGAGAACCGGAACACAGGUGCUGCAUGGCUGUCGUCAGCUCGUGCUCCGUGAGAUGUUGGGUUGAAGUCCCGCAACGAGCACAGCCCUUGUCAUUAGUUGCUACGAAGAGGCCACUAAUGAGACUGCCGGUGACAAACCGGAGGAAGGUGGGGAUGACGUCAAGUCCUCAUGGCCCUUAUGGGUAGGGCUACUACUGAUCAUACAAUGGUCGGGACGGUUAUGGCAACCCGCGAGGGGAGCCAAUCCCAGAAACCCGAUCGUAGUCCAGUCCUACGCAGUCUGCAACUCGACUGCGUGAAGUCGGAAAAUGUGUAGUAAUCAUGGAGAUCAGCAUGUCGCGGUGAAUACGUUCCCGGGUCUUGUACACACCGCCCGUCACACCAUGGGAGUGGGUUUACCAGAAGUAGUUAGCCUAACCGUAAGGAGGCGAUUACCACGGUAAGUUCAUGACUGGGGUGAAGUAAUAACUCGCAGUAA